This 21-nucleotide microRNA is filed under the name Picea abies (Norway spruce). RNAcentral describes it as "pab-miR11516". The record is from miRBase by way of RNAcentral. Lineage: Eukaryota; Viridiplantae; Streptophyta; Pinopsida; Pinales; Pinaceae.
UCGAAGUCCGUAAGAGAAGCC